This 1030-nucleotide long non-coding RNA is filed under the name Betta splendens (Siamese fighting fish). Its description in RNAcentral is "lncRNA (ENSBSLG00000010493.1)". Lineage: Eukaryota; Metazoa; Chordata; Actinopteri; Anabantiformes; Osphronemidae. The record is from RNAcentral.
AAAACAGAAAUGCUGAACCUAAAAAGUGAAGGUGAGCUCAUGCUUCUGCACUUCAUCUGUUUUAUACAUGUUUAUAUGUAAUAUCAGCCUAAUGUGUAAUUCAUUUUUUUUCAAGAACAGACUGUUAAAGUGCAAAUCUCAGUGUGAUAUAAGAGAAUAAAUAUGGACUUUAAAAACGGUAAACGUGCUGCUGUUCAGAUGAUCCAGAUCUGGUAUAAAUGCAGUGUUUUAUGCUUAUGAACAGUCUUCUCUCAUCAGAUGUUAACGCUGGUGGUUUAUUAAACCAAGGAGACACUUGUUACCUGAACAAUGUGAAGCAGGAGCUGUUCCAAGGCUUCAGAGAAGCUGUGGAGAGACACAACACCUGCAUGGAUCGACACCUUAAAGACCUGUUUGAUGAGCUGCAGCGUCGCACACCCAGCACCAACACAAUCCUAAACAAGCUGGGCAUCGACAGAGGUACAGGAUCAGCAGAACAGCGUCAGCGUCACGUCUGCUGAUCAGAGUCCUGUGGAUGUGGGUCCUGAACCACACACAAUCAGCAUUUGUCUGAAUGAGCUCAUUGGUCGCUCUGCUCCUGUUUCCUCAGUGUGGGAACAACAAGACGCUGCUGAGUUCUACGUAAAGAUCUUAAGUCAAACCAGUGAAGCUGCUUCACAGGUAAAAACAUCACUAACGUCAAACAGUCGCUCAGAUCCAAACUAACACUUAUCAGUGUCUGUGUUUUGUUUGCAGAUCUUCCACGGAGCGUUGACACAUACGACCAUAUGUCAUAAUCCUCAGUGUGGAGCACAGAAACCUGCAGACUCACGUUUCUGGCAUCUUCCUCUCUCAUUGAAUGAUUCCCACAGUGAAGAAUAUCAAGUGGUGAGAAUCUGACGGUCUGUGAACUAAACACAUGGUGUCAAACAGACCAAAGACUAAUGUAAAGAUACAUCAGCGUGAUGUUGGGUCAGAACCAUUACUCUUUACUUAGUUACUCUUUACCUUGUACAGAUAAACAGCCGCCACCAUCGCUGUGUAAUGAAAC